UUCAGGAAUGAGGAAAGUGUGCCAAGCAGGCUAAGAUAAAAGAAUUACCUUCUCCACUGAGCUCUUCCUUCACCACUUCUCCCUAUUACUGAUUUACUGUGUUGAAGAAUGGAGGUUAUCAGACACAAUGCUAGCAACACAGAGCAAUAAUGACACUCAAACUCCAGUAACUCCUUCUAAACCCCACAACCACUUCCAUCUAGAAGGGCAAGGGCAGCAUUUAUAUGGGAACACCAUCACCUUC
Chiloscyllium plagiosum (whitespotted bambooshark) is the source of this 244-nucleotide non-coding RNA. The record is from RefSeq and is a predicted model, not a curated record. Lineage: Eukaryota; Metazoa; Chordata; Chondrichthyes; Orectolobiformes; Hemiscylliidae.